This is a long non-coding RNA of Antechinus flavipes (yellow-footed antechinus), 5668 nucleotides long. RefSeq lists it as uncharacterized. NCBI's taxonomy places the organism in Eukaryota, Metazoa, Chordata, Mammalia, Dasyuromorphia, Dasyuridae. The record is from RefSeq and is a predicted model, not a curated record. The transcript is spliced from 2 exons.
UGAGAUCUCAGACACUUAGCUUUAUAACCCUGGAAAAAUCAUUUAAUCCCUUUUCUCCCUCAGUUUUUCAACCGUUAAACAAGGAUAAUAACAGUGCCUACCUCCCAUGGUUAUUGUAAGAAUCAAAUGGAUGAUAUUUGCAAAGCACACUGCCUGGAACACAGUAUUAGCCUUACAGGCAUUGUCCACCUCGAGACCCACAUGUAAGUGACCUGCUGGAUGGGUCAUCUGGCGCCCAACGUGGGGGCCCCGAGGCUGGACACCUGCCCGGCAGAUUAGGAAGAAGCCCAUUCGUCCGGACCUGCUACGAGACCGCUCCACAGAGAGCCCGCAACUGAAAAGUGAGUAAUCAUCUGCUGCACUCAUGGGGACUAACUUAUCUAAAGAACAGGCCUUUAUUAAGGACCUUAAGAGUAGCCUUAGAGAAAGAGGAGUAAAAAUUAAGAAAAAGGAUCUUGUUCGGUUUUUCCUUUUCAUUGAUGAUGUCUGUCCCUGGUUCAUUGUCAACGGCCCUGAAAUCCACCCUGCUAAGUGGCAAAAGGUGGGACGGGAUCUUAGUAACAAGUUGAAAACCGAAGGGCCCAAACCCAUUCAUGUUCUUUCCUAUUGGAAUCUGAUCAAUGACAUUGUAGAAUGUGCCUCCCUUGACGGGGGUACAUGACAGUUACUCAUUUCUGCAGAGUCCUUUGUCCCGUGCGGCAUCCACCCAGUCUCUCCAAAAAACAGGGAAGCCGUCUUCACGACCUCCGUCAGGGAUCAUUGAGAUCCCUUCCGUCACGCCCAAGUCUAUCUACCCCCCACUUCCCAAAGAAGGGACUCCCCCCAUAGAAAGCAAUUUCACAUACCCCGUCUUCCCCGCCGCCGAACCUAAACUCCCUGUGAAAAAUGAAAGUGAAACUCAGGAUGCCCUUAGCGCCUCAGACGUUGCUGAAUUAGAAAGCAAGGCACAGGGUAUAUUCCACCUCCCUACAGCUUGCCCCUUCUUACCGCCCCGAUACUUAACCCCCCUGUCGCCCCGGUCAUUGACCUCACCACAGCUAAGCAAGACUUAACUGAAAAAGUAAAAAACCUUCGAGAAGUUCUAGACUUACAAAUUCAAUAUCUACAAAUGACGAACGAACUCUCGGCAUUACAACAAUCUUUACAAAGAACUCUCUCCCUCCCUGUGUCAGGGUAUCAGAGACAAUUACCCAAAGCAGUGAGACCCUUGAAGAAUAAGAGAAACCCCCCCUCACUCACAAAAAUUAAAAACCCCGCUCCUGCACAGCUUGCCUUCCCUGUGUUAAAAAGCCAGAAAACUUUAGUGGCACCAAAGGAGACAGAGGAGGAAGGUGGGGAUGAAGGGGAGGCGGAAGCUUCAGGGGAAGAAGAAGGAGUAGCAGAAGGCCAAGGAAAUCGAUUCGGCAUGAUUCAGCAUUCGGGAGAGUAAGUCUGUCUGGGUACCUUUUGGGGUACCAUCUGGUUAUGGUUCUGGUUAUUCUGGUUCUGGUCUGUUCUGUUGCUAGUAACCUGUGGUCUCAGAAUAAAUACCGACGGGUUUAAAAAUUCUGAGACGGGUAUUUUCUGGGACGCUGGAAAAUAUCCUCUGGGUAUAUGUUAUGUGUUAUAUGUUUGUUUAGUGUUAUAACUGUGUAGUCUGUGUGAUGUGUGUUCUAUGUUCUGUGUGAUUUGUCUGUUUUAUUGGUUGGAAAAAUUUUUUAAAUGGAGCUCCAUGUUUGUCUGUGUGUGUCUGUGUUAAAAGGUAGCAAGCUUGUAAGAAAUAAGGAUUCAGCCUCUGUGUUGCAGGCUUAGAAAAUAUCAAGAAGUUUGAAAAAUCUUUCUCUGUCUCUGGCUGACUGCAGCAGCCUGUGAGAAGAAGGGAGAAAAGGGAGAGAAAGGAAGAAAUUAAAAAAAAAAAAAAAAAAAAAGGAAAUGAAAAAAUAGAUUGAAAGGGAUUUGAAAGUUUGGAAAGUUAAUAUACAGCAGUAUGCUAACAUUUAAAGGAAAGAAGUUUGAAUAGAAUAUCUAGGCAUUCUCUGUGAAGGCAGAGAAAAGCACUAAAUGGGCUUGGAAGUUCACAGAAGCCCCUUUGGAUUCUGGAAGGGAAAAAGGAAACAAACUUCUCUCUGAGGGUGGGGAAUCCUAGAAAAAGCCCCUAGUCUGUUUUUGCUGAUUUAAAAGCUUUGUUAAGUUUUAAGAACAAUGAUUAAGAAAUUUGGAAAUUGGGUGUUUGAAAAUUUGCUUGUGAUUUUAAAACUUUUAACCUGUUGUACUAAUUUUGUAAGUACAUGGAAUUUAGCUAUUUUAAACGGACAGAAAAGGUUUUUUUUCCCCCCUUGAAACAAAGCUUACUAGAGUAAAGAGCAAUAAAAUUCAAGGUUAGCCUGGCCUGGGCAAUAAAAAGCUCUGGAGAUAAGAUGCUAAUAGCUGUUAGAAGAAAUGUGGUAGGAAAAAAAAAAAGAAAAAAACUUUUAAAAACAGCUGUAUUAGUUUGAUUCAGUUUGUUACCUUCUGAAAUAUAUUGAGUUAUUUAUUAACAUACUUUAAAACCAGCUCUGCUGGACAUGUGUGGGUUUUUGGAGGUUUGGGCUAUUCACUAUAGUAUGAAUCUUACAGGUUUUUGAAGGGAAAAGGAAAGAGGAAUACAGGUGAUUUAGGAAGGACUGAUUUGUAGGGAAAUUAGAGGUUUGCAUGGUUUUAGGAAGGUGAAAGAAAGACUUUUGGGAGUAGGUGAAGAGGUGGGGAGGAAGCCAUCCACCUCCACUGUCUUCUGCUACUUUACAGUAGCAUCAGGAGUAUCUGAUAGGAAAGUUCUUUAAGGAGAUUGUUCAAAUAUGUAGCCAGGAAGAAAGAGAAAGUUGGAAAUGGAUAAAUUUGGGAAGAAACCUCAUGUUGGGAAACUGAUGGGCUAAAUCUUGAAAAGGAUCCCCAUGUAGAAAAUAGAGUGGGGAACCUGAGGGAAGUUUUUUCUAGGGGGCAGGAGUGGGGGAAGGGUGGCCAUGUGGAAUCCUCUCCUCCCCUCACCCCUCUAGAGUGUGUUACUGAUGUUUUUUUUUUCUUAUCUGAUUACGGCCAGUGCAGCAAACUUUGAUUUUUUUAAGGGCAUGCUUACUUUUAGGUUAAUUGAUUGAAUAUUUGGGUUUUUUUUUUAAUACAUAAAGGUUUUCUUGGUUAAGAGAUAUGGUCAUAAAUGUGAUCCAUACGUUGGUACGAAUAUUUCUAAGAGUUUAAUUGCUAUGUUAUUAAAAAAAAAAAAAAAAACCUUUUUGAAUUCUUUUAUGUGGAAUUGGGUCUUUUGUAUAAGUUUAAAUUGAUUAUAUUGGGUCAUCCUGAGGUUAUUUAAAGGGCCUCUGAACAUAAUAGUUUUUUCUUUGUCCUUUUGAAGAUGUUUCUGUUAUGGACACUAUGCAGUUUGGGAUGGUUUUCUAUGUAUUGGGUAUUUUAAAAGCAAAAUGAUUUGUAUGUAUAAUGUUCACUUAUGUGACAUCUACCCAGAUAUGAUAAUUGUUCUAAGUUGUGAACUUAUUGAGACGAAAUUUCUUUCUGUUAUUACUACAAGAUUAGGGUAAAUCUUUGUUUAAGAGUUAUCAGAAAUUUGAUUAAUGACAUCUGUUAUUGGAGGUAAAAAUUCUUGGACUUAAGAGUUAAUUAGUUAAUGCUAUUGGGAGUUUUAAGGCUCCACCCUCUGACAGUUACUGGGAAAAUUGAUUGAUAAGCUGUUAAAACUCAACUGCUUAUGUUAUGUUAUAGUUAUGUUCUUGCAUUUUUCCUUCUGUAACUGAUCUCUCUGAUCAGAGCAAUGGUCAGUAGAAUUGUUAAUGCAAUUCAAUUAUGUCGUGCCUUGCUAUUUUCAGUCUGGUUAUAUGUAAUCAUUGUAUCCUAAAUGCUUGGGCAACUGAGUAUUUCGUCUGGUAAUCUGUCUGUUACUGGAUAUUUGUGUUUUGUUCCUUUAAGGUUUCUACAUGAUAAGUGGACAAUUAACAGAGGUCUGUAAGACUGCAGCCAUUUGCUUGGCCUGUAAAGCAAACUCAUCUCUUCACAUAGGAAACUGCUGGCCAAUUUAUUUUGGCCUCCUCAUGUUUUGCAGCAACCUGAUGAACUGAGUCUAUCUGAGACUGAUCUAAUCUUUAUUUGCUAGAUUUGUGUUUUUGCUCUAGAUUUUGGUCAAAUUACAGAUAUUGGUUUGCUUCUGGAACCUGGAUCAGCUUUGAUCAGCUUUGAUUGUCACCACGGCACACACCCACUCUGCAUGGAAUGAGAGCCUCCUAUCACUUCACAGCCUGAAGCAGCAGUUUGUACAUGAGACCAUGGACUGGACCCUGCAUCGAGUGUACUUUGGACUGAUAUAAGGGACUUUGGGAAUGGUUGAUGACUGACUGUUAAACCUUGCCUGGAUCAUCUAUUACUGUGUGUUUAAGACUUGGGAUGGGAUUUGUUAAAAUUGUGUAAUUAUUACUGUUAUGUUUGAGGGCUUUUUAGGAAAUGCUACUGUAUUAAUCUGUUAUGUAUAGGGAUUUUGAUUCACUCUCAGAAUUUAUAUGGGGAAUGGCCAUUUGAUAAUUCCUUUCCGUGAGAAAAAAAAAAGGGGGGGGGGGGGAGAUAGAGAUAGAACAUUGGGAAACUGGUAUAUAUUUUUUUCAAAAUACCUGAAAGAAUGGGAACGCCUAGCUCCUAUUCACUUUGCCUUAAGCACUUUUGCCCCACCCCCUAUCUCACUAGUUCAGAUUGAAUUUGGAUGCUUUAGUUUUAGAAUCCCUUAUUUUGUUAAAAAUCCCCCUGGCUGACAACCCUUCUUCCUACUCUUCCGGGACCGUUCGUGGCUAUUCUUCUUAUUUCUUUCGGACCUUGGCUGUUUGCUAAGUUAACUGGUUUUGUUAAGUCUCAGGUUGAUGCAGCUGUUCAGAAGAAAGUUCAAAUCUACUAUCAACGCCUUCCUAAGGCAGAUUCUUAUGAAAACCUCAACAUCAACGAGCCUGGUGCAGCUUUACAAUUUUCUACCAUGGUUAUGCAUGACCCCUGGUAUCGCAGAUGGUGGACUCGGUCGAAGUCCCCCUGUGCCGGCUGUGGGUGAGCCAAUGACGGGAUUAUUAUGGCCCCAUAUUUCAGGAACAUCAUACCCUCUGGCUGCAGGAACACCCAAUGACGGGAUUAUUGUGGGCCCGUUCUCCAGAAGCACACCCCGGAAGUUUGAUGCUGGGGUGCUGGGACGGAUGCCGCUCACAUAGCCUAAGACAGGGGUCCUGCCUUUUUCCUGGCCUUUAAGGUCGGAUUAUUUGGGUACUGAAUAUGGACACCGGCCACAUAGCCUAAGACAGGCCUCUCACCCAUAUAUAAAUAAAAAGGGGGACAUGCUAGAAACCAUGUAUAAAAGACUCUCCUAUACCUUAGUGCCUCGGGCACCCCAGGAAACAAAGAAGCCAAGAAGAACGUGACUACCUGUGCAUAAACUCUGAUAAGGUUAGCUAAAACCUUAUUGGGAACAAACAUCCUAAAUUCCUGAGACAAGAUAAUGUGUGUCCCAGGAAAUUGGCCAUCUCCGCCCAGGAACCAGAUAACGAGUAUGCCCCAGGAUGUCAGCCACACCUGUGGUCUGACAUUCUUCUCUUUUACAUUGCAACCCCCCACCCAGAAAUCAUAUAUAACUAAGACCCUUUUCAUUCAAUAAAUGAGAGACCUUGCUCCACCUCAA